CCUACGGGUGGCAGCAGUGGGGAAUAUUGCGCAAUGGUCGAAAGCCUGACGCAGCGACGCCGCGUGAGGGAUGAAGGUCUUCGGAUUGUUAACCUCUGUCAGCAGGGAAGAACGAUCAGUGUGCUAAUCAGCAGUGAAUUGACGGUAUCUGCAAAGGAAGCACCGGCUAACCCCGUGCCAGCAGCCGCGGUAAUACGGCGGGUGCGAGCGUUAAUCGGAAUUACUGGGCGUAAAGCGCGCGUAGGUGGUAUGUCAGGUCACCGGUGAAAUACCCGCGCUCAACGUCGGAACUGCGUGUGAAACUGGCAACCUGGAGUGUGUGGGAGGGUAGUGGAAUUCCAGGUGUAGGAGUG
RNAcentral lists this ribosomal RNA (353 nucleotides) under uncultured bacterium. RNAcentral describes it as "partial 16S ribosomal RNA". It matches the Rfam family "Bacterial small subunit ribosomal RNA", at positions 338 to 683 of the family's 1533-position model. The record is from RNAcentral.